RNAcentral lists this long non-coding RNA (740 nucleotides) under Populus trichocarpa (black cottonwood). RNAcentral's name for it is "long non-coding RNA (PTRI_LNC002374)". The record is from RNAcentral. Lineage: Eukaryota; Viridiplantae; Streptophyta; Magnoliopsida; Malpighiales; Salicaceae.
UCAAAGAUGUCCUCUUUGAACCAGUUCGUAAAACCCAAGAUGCUAUGUUUUUCAUACAUACUUCUGAUGAUAUGUGGGUGCCUUGUGGACCGAAGCAACCUGGUGCUGUCCAAAUUUCCAUGCAGGACCUUGCAGCACAAGGGCUUGCAGAAAAGGUAUUAGCUGAUGCUUUAAAAUAAAACCUGUUAUUGCCUCUUUUUUUUUGGGUUUGACAGGGAGAAUAUAGGAUUAGGCUUGCCUUCAGCUUUUUUGAUGAUUUGGCUGCUCAUAACACUUGAACUUGCAGUGUUAUGUUUGGAAUACCAUGUCUUUACCACUGCACAGAGCAAUGGCUCUGGGCAUGCUUUGGAUCUGAUUUGCUAGUUAAAAUCAAAGAUUUUGUUUUCUCUCUCUCUAAACAUGUAUAAAAAGGAUAUUUAUUUGUGGGGAAACAUAUGUAGACCUUGAGAGAUAACAAGUGGGGUGUUUUCAUUUUGAUGCUUUGUUUAUUGUUAUAGUAACUAAAUUAUGUUGAAUGCUGAUAACCACAUCUGCAGAUCCUUCCACCCCCUAUCAUGAAAACAGAUUUUGACAAGGUCCUAGCAAGACAAAAGCCAACAGUGAGCAAAGCUGAUCUAGAUGUCCAUGAGAGAUUCACAAAGGAGUUUGGGGAGGAAGGUUAAUGAAGAUGAUGACAGAGACACACUGGCCAAUGCCUGUGAGUGCAACCUAUGUGAUUAGUUAUUGCUGCUGGAUCCACC